UACAGAGGGUGCGAGCGUUAAUCGGAAUUACUGGGCGUAAAGCGCACGUAGUCGGCUUUGCAAGUCGGGUGUGAAAUCCCCGGGCUCAACCUGGGAACUGCAUCCGAGACUGCAUUGCUAGAGUAUGGGAGAGGGAAGCGGAAUUUCUGGUGUAGCAGUGAAAUGCGUAGAUAUCAGAAGGAACACCCGUGGCGAAGGCGGCUCUCUGGGACGGUACUGACGCUGAGACGCGAAAGCGUGGGGAGCGAACAGG
RNAcentral lists this ribosomal RNA (253 nucleotides) under uncultured bacterium. RNAcentral's name for it is "partial 16S ribosomal RNA". It matches the Rfam family "Bacterial small subunit ribosomal RNA", at positions 524 to 776 of the family's 1533-position model. The record is from RNAcentral.